GUAUGGUUGCCUUGUGAUGUGGCUUCAUUUGAGCUUUAAACGGCGAGAAGUUGCAACCUUUCGGUAGUCAUCUAUUUGCAAGAUUGGCUUGAUUUUGGGCCACUCUUUUAUGCGACGCUCACUCGGGU
Campylobacter mucosalis is the source of this 128-nucleotide non-coding RNA. The record is from Rfam. Lineage: Bacteria; Pseudomonadati; Campylobacterota; Epsilonproteobacteria; Campylobacterales; Campylobacteraceae.